Molecule: ribosomal RNA, 305 nt
Filed under: uncultured bacterium
Lineage: Bacteria
Description: bacterial SSU rRNA
Rfam family: Bacterial small subunit ribosomal RNA
Source: RNAcentral
UUGCCUACGGGACGCAGCAGUGGGGAAUAUUGGGCAAUGGGCGCAAGCCUGACCCAGCAACGCCGCGUGAAGGAAGAAGGCUUUCGGGUUGUAAACUUCUUUUGACAGGGAAGAGUAGAAGACGGUACCUGUCGAAUAAGCCACGGCUAACUACGUGCCAGCAGCCGCGGUAAUACGUAGGUGGCAAGCGUUGUCCGGAUUUACUGGGUGUAAAGGGGGCGCAGACGGCAGCGCAAGCCAGGAGUGAAAGCCCGGGGCGCAACCCCGGGACUGCGCUUGGAACUGCGCGGCUGGAGUGCAGGAGG